This 76-nucleotide transfer RNA is filed under the name Gammaproteobacteria bacterium. RNAcentral's name for it is "tRNA-Phe". It matches the Rfam family "tRNA". Rfam says of the family: Transfer RNA (tRNA) molecules are approximately 80 nucleotides in length. Their secondary structure includes four short double-helical elements and three loops (D, anti-codon, and T loops). RNAcentral also lists the same sequence under 8 other names. Lineage: Bacteria; Pseudomonadati; Pseudomonadota; Gammaproteobacteria. The record is from RNAcentral.
GCCCAGGUAGCUCAGUCGGUAGAGCAGGGGAUUGAAAAUCCCCGUGUCGGCAGUUCGAUUCUGUCCCUGGGCACCA